Molecule: ribosomal RNA, 497 nt
Filed under: uncultured bacterium
Lineage: Bacteria
Description: partial 16S ribosomal RNA
Rfam family: Bacterial small subunit ribosomal RNA
Source: RNAcentral
GAUGAACGCUGGCGGCGUGCCUAAUACAUGCAAGUCGAGCGAACAGACGAGGAGCUUGCUCCUCUGACGUUAGCGGCGGACGGGUGAGUAACACGUGGAUAACCUACCUAUAAGACUGGGAUAACUUCGGGAAACCGGAGCUAAUACCGGAUAACAUGUUGAACCGCAUGGUUCAACAGUGAAAGACGGUCUUGCUGUCACUUAUAGAUGGAUCCGCGCCGCAUUAGCUAGUUGGUAAGGUAACGGCUUACCAAGGCAACGAUGCGUAGCCGACCUGAGAGGGUGAUCGGCCACACUGGAACUGAGACACGGUCCAGACUCCUACGGGAGGCAGCAGUAGGGAAUCUUCCGCAAUGGGCGAAAGCCUGACGGAGCACCGCCGCGUGAGUGAAGAAGGUCUUCGGAUCGUAAAACUCUGUUAUUAGGGAAGAACAAAUGUGUAAGUAACUAUGCACGUCUUGACGGUACCUAAUCAGAAAGCCACGGCUAACUACGUG